This is a long non-coding RNA of Salvia splendens (bonfire salvia), 526 nucleotides long. RefSeq lists it as uncharacterized. Lineage: Eukaryota; Viridiplantae; Streptophyta; Magnoliopsida; Lamiales; Lamiaceae. The record is from RefSeq and is a predicted model, not a curated record. The transcript is spliced from 2 exons.
UACCGUGAAAAUAAAUGCAAUUCCACCCUCAUUUGUUACUCUACUGCAGUGGCCUCAGUUCCUCUGUCUCUUGCAGCGUUCUCACUAAGUUUUUAUGCGAUUUUGCAGGUGUAACAUGGAGCAGAAGCUGUUGAACUGGAGUGCAGGGUUCCUGCAGUUGUACUGCAAUUUUCCUUCCCUAUUCUGAUCUGUGGCAGCCUGUGGUGUGGCUGAGGAGUGCAGGCUGCUGCAGCCCUCCAUCCUCCUUAUUUAGGGAUGAAGGAGAAGUAGUUGGCUGAAAAGAAAACGCCCUCCCGCGACGUGGCUCGAUGCCCUCGGCCCGACGGCCGAGCGGAGAUGUGAUCGUGCGUGGUGUGGUUUUGCUCGGGGAGAAGAAUAGAUUCAAAAUGUCUUCGUCUUGACAUUUUUUGUAUUAUUUUUCCUUCAUUUUCAUUAUCAUAUAUUGUGUAAGCUAAGACAUAGUUCGGAAUGUAAUAUCGUUGGAUUUUAUUUACUUAAGGAAUAGACGGACACAUUCCCAUUUUCA